AACCCCACCCUCUAAUCCAUCUUCUCUCUAUUCUCUCCCCACGCUGCGCUGUCCCCACCAGUCGCCUAACCACAUCGCCCUUCAUCUAGAUACUUCGCUCAGUUCGAUCGCGCAACUCCUCUCCUUCGGUCAUUCAUGGCACACUCUAAAAGAGACUUUUGCAAGGAUGGAGCUGUUCGAUGCAAAUGUGAUGGGAUAGUGCAAUGACCCGACCCAUUAGCAACAAUAACUCGUUGGGCCCAAACCAUCGGCCCAAAAUGCUUAAGUCGGAUUAUUAUUACUAGCGUGGCCGAGGACGAGUUCGCAGGGCGAGGACCGCGGCAAGGGCACAACGCCCUAAGUAGUUAGUAGCUUCCUAUUUUGCAUUAGAGUACCCUCGUGUACUAGAGACAUGUGAUGUAUUUGGAAGCUCUUCAUGUAUUUUGAUAAUCAAAUUGUAUUUACAUUUUGGAAGAUGGAAAUAUAAUUAAAGAUUAAUGUUGAA
Molecule: long non-coding RNA, 484 nt
Organism: Ananas comosus (pineapple)
Lineage: Eukaryota; Viridiplantae; Streptophyta; Magnoliopsida; Poales; Bromeliaceae
Exons: 3
Source: RefSeq, a predicted model, not a curated record